This 507-nucleotide ribosomal RNA is filed under the name uncultured fungus. Its description in RNAcentral is "eukaryotic LSU rRNA". The stretch from base 338 to 507 matches the Rfam family "Eukaryotic large subunit ribosomal RNA", at positions 1 to 170 of the family's 3401-position model. The record is from RNAcentral. Lineage: Eukaryota; Fungi.
UCUCGCAUCGAUGAAGAACGCAGCGAAAUGCGAUAAGUAAUGUGAAUGCAGAAAUUCAGUGAAUCAUCGAAUCUUUGAACGCACCUUGCGCUCCUUGGUAUUCCGAGGAGCAUGCCUGUNUGAGUGUCAUGUUAAUAUCAACCCCGUCGGUUUGUAAAUCAGACCGUUGGGUGUUGGACUUGGAGGUUCUUGCUGGCUGCAAAGUCGGCUCCUCUUGAAUGUAUUAGCUUGGGCCUGUUGUGCGUGCUCGCGGUGUAAUAAGUUUUAUUCAUCGUUUGGGUCGUACACUUAUUGGGCUUGCUUCUAACUGUCUUCGGACAAGCAUAACCUUUGACUCUGACCUCAAAUCAGGUAGGACUACCCGCUGAACUUAAGCAUAUCAAUAAGCGGAGGAAAAGAAACUAACAAGGAUUCCCCUAGUAACUGCGAGUGAAGCGGGAAAAGCUCAAAUUUAAAAUCUGGCGGUUUCACCGUCCGAGUUGUAAUCUGGAGAAGCGUUUUCCGUGC